UAUUGAACGAGACUGCAGCUGGAUGCUUUGUUCAGGAUCGAUCCUGUGGCGAAAGGCAUUCAGCUUCUUGCAGAUCAAGGCAGAGAGAAAGGGGAAAAACAUUUUGUCAAUACCUUAAUAAUUGGGCUUGAGAAUGACAAGAUGGACAAGAUGCAACUCUAUUCUGUAGGAAAAAUAUUGAGAAACGACAAACUGGGGAGAUUCAGCGGUGACCCAUCCGGAGAGCCUGCCAUCUACAUGCAUCAGAAGCUGUUUUGUUAAUAGAAAUACAGGGCGGAUUGCAUGAUCCAAGGCAUGGAGCAUUACAAGGCCGCCUUACCAGCGAGGAGGAAUAUGCAUGAAUACAUUAAAAGGUAAUGAGGAAGCUGUCAGGAGAGGGUUGUUCGGGGCAGUGCUCGGCAUCAGAGGCAUUGGAGAGCUUUCAGACUAUUACAUGAUGGAUUUGUCAUCUCAGCAUGAGAAGGAUAAAGGGGCGGAGUUCAACAACGUUACUAACGGCAACUGUUGCCAGGUCUUACUUGAUGAUGAUGCGGUUGGCUGGUGGUAACCAACACAAAUGAACUAGAUAAAGCAGCACCUCAACUUGUAUUUUUGGUCAUUUUAUCUGCUCAAAUAUAUAAACAACAGGCUUUGUCGAGGAUUGUGAGUGGUGUGUUACAAUGUCCAUCAAUUUUAAGAUUUUGAUACAACAUCAAUCGUAAUCACACCUCAAUCGUAUUCCCUACGCAGCAACGCAACCACGUGACUAUUGAUGAAGGCGAUGUGGAUUCGCAUAAUGGAAUGUCAUGGCAACAACACCUGGCAACAGUUUAUCCAAGUCCUCAUACCCAACCCCUCCCCCAACCUAAAGCACUGGAACAUUAUUUCUGUGAGACAGAAAGCCCUAUGAACAAAUAAUGGGCGAGCGCCAGUUUAAAUAAAGUAUAGUUUAUGACUUGUGGUCAGGACCGUCUCUCUUUUUUAAAAAGUGUGCUGCAUAAAAACUGCUGCCAACAUUUUUUUCUCCAUACGGUUAUAAUACAAAGUCGUUUUUUCCUGUCCUCACAGUAAGAGAUUCAGUCAAUAAAGGACCGGCAGCAGACCAGUAGUCUGCAGCCACAGGAGAAUGGAACAAACCACACACGCCAAAACAAACUGGUGUUCCUUUGCAUUUUUUCAGCUUGGGCAUUUUAAUAAAACAUUUACAGUCCUUUGGAGCAGGGUAAAUGUUUUGCGAGCAUGCCCUCUUUCACUUUUGAUAUGGGAUUCAUUUUCAUAAUCUAUAAAAUUAUUGCAUGACCACCCCCCCUCUAGUAAAUUUAGGGUCAUGAGUGUUUGAUUUAAAGCAUGCUUAAGUCCAGCUGUUCUGACCUAAUGUAAUUUACAAACAGUGAGGCUGUGGGAUAUCAAACCAAUUAUUCAAAUGAAUUGUACAAUACACUAAGAAACAGACAUGGCAA
Long non-coding RNA from Misgurnus anguillicaudatus (oriental weatherfish), 1439 nucleotides. RefSeq lists it as uncharacterized. NCBI's taxonomy places the organism in Eukaryota, Metazoa, Chordata, Actinopteri, Cypriniformes, Cobitidae. The record is from RefSeq and is a predicted model, not a curated record.